GGGCUUCGGAGUUGACGUCACGCCGCAAUGCAUUGUGGGAGCGCGGCGGCAUUUUCGGGGUCUACGAAUCAAAACAAACACACUGUGUUGGAACGACGAUUACAAGAUGCUUAAAAGCUGCUCAAACGAGAAUGGACUGUAUAGAGACCGAUUGCGUCCAGAGGCGAAGCGGCGGUACUUGCAGAAAAUAGCUGCAGUGGAAAUGUGGACCCGUAUGAAAUACGGCCGUGGAGUAGAAACCCUGAAGACCAACCGCUAUUGACGUAGCCUGACAUAUUUCAUACCUUGUCUGUGGAGUCAGCGCGUACAAGUGGUCAUUCAAACAAAGGUGCUGCACUCUAAGACUGAAUGAACCAGCAUUGCAGCCAUGGGUCACUGUGAGCAUCACAGGGAAGGUUGAAGCCGCCCGCUGCAGCUGCAUGGCCGGAGUCGCAGAGACCUGCAGCCAUGUCGCUGCUCUUCUGUCUAAAGUAGAUGGAACAGUGUUGAUCCGUGGCACAAGGACUGUUACACAUGAACCUGCAUACUGGGUUUGCUGGGUAAUGUGACCAAGAUACAGCCAGAGGUUGGCCAUAAGAUAGACUUCUCCUCUUCAGCUGCCCAAAAAAAGGCUCUUGAUCAAAACAUACACAGACAAUCUGUAGUGACAGGGAAAAGGAGCCUCAAAACAGAAAAAUCCCACCUGCUACUGUGGAGGAGUUGUCACUGCUAUAAUGCCAUCAUGUUUUAUCUAGGGGUCUAGAUGUAUGCCUGUAGUGCACUGCCGUGUAAAUAAUUUGCAUUUACUGAAUAUGUACUGACUGAGUCCCGCUGUUCAAAAGUUGAAUAAAGAAACAAAAUAA
Molecule: long non-coding RNA, 842 nt
Organism: Haplochromis burtoni (Burton's mouthbrooder)
Lineage: Eukaryota; Metazoa; Chordata; Actinopteri; Cichliformes; Cichlidae
Exons: 2
Source: RefSeq, a predicted model, not a curated record